Molecule: ribosomal RNA, 731 nt
Filed under: uncultured euryarchaeote
Lineage: Archaea; Methanobacteriati; Methanobacteriota
Description: bacterial SSU rRNA
Rfam family: Archaeal small subunit ribosomal RNA
Source: RNAcentral
CCCUCGGGAACUGAGGUUAAUAUCUGAUAGGAGAUUUAUACUGGAAAGAUUAAUCUUUAAAAUUCGAGCCUAAGGAUGGGGCUGCGGUGGAUUAGGUUGUUGGCGGGGUAAUAGCCCACCAAGCCUUUGAUCCAUAGGGGCUCUUAGCGGAGAAGCCCCGAGAGGGAAUCUGAGACACUAUUCCCAGCCCUACGGGGUGCAGCAGUUAGGAAUAUUCUGCAAUGCGCGUAAGCGUGACAGAUUGAGUCAGAGUGCGCUUCAAUUUGGAGUGCUUUUGCUAAAUGUAAAAAGUUUGGCGAAUAAGGACUGGGUAAGACGAGUGCCAGCCGCCGCGGUAAUACUCGCGGUCCAAGUCGCAGCCAUUUUUAUUGGGUCUAAAACAUCCGUAGCUUGCUUGGUGAGUUCCUUGUGAAAUUCUAUAUCUCAAAUAUGGAGCGUGCAGGGAGUACUGCCAAGCUAGAGACUGGAAGACGUAACGAGUACGUUUGGAGUAGCGGUAAAAUGUGUUAAUCCCGGACGGACUAACAAUAGCGAAGGCACGUUACGAGGACAGUUCUGACAGUAAGGGAUGAAGGCUAGGGGCGCAAAACGGAUUAGAUACCCGUGUAGUCCUAGCAGUAAACACUGCACACUAAACAUUAGUACCUCCUCGAGAGGUAUUGGUGCUGAAGGGAAGCCGAAGAGUGUGCUACCUGGGAAGUAUAGUCGCAAGGCCGAAACUUAAAGGAAUU